Molecule: ribosomal RNA, 252 nt
Filed under: uncultured bacterium
Lineage: Bacteria
Description: partial 16S ribosomal RNA
Rfam family: Bacterial small subunit ribosomal RNA
Source: RNAcentral
UACGUAGGGGGCGAGCGUUGUCCGGAUUUAUUGGGCGUAAAGAGCUCGUAGGCGGUUUGGCAAGUCGGGUGUGAAAACUCCGGGCUCAACUCGGAGACGCCACUCGAUACUGCCAUGACUCGAGUCCGGUAGGGGAGUGCGGAAUUCCUGGUGUAGCGGUGAAAUGCGUAGAGAUUGGGAAGAACACCAGUGGCGAAGGCGGCUAUCUGGACGGUUUGACACUAAGACUCGAAAGCGUGGGGAGCAAACAGG